GGAAGUAAAAGUCGUAACAAGAUUUCCGUAGGUGAACCUGCGGAAGGAUCAUUAUUGUAUAACCGAGGUGCGAGGGCUGUCGCUGACCCGAAAGGUCGUGCACGCCCGAGUGCCCUCACACACAUCCAUCUCACCCCUAUGUGCACCACCGCGUGGGUCCCCCUUUGGCUUGUUCGGAGGGGGGCUUACGUUUUCACACAGACUUUGUAUGCAGUGUAGAAUGUAUUUUUUGUUUUUGCGAUCACGCAAUCAAUACAACUUUCAACAACGGAUCUCUUGGCUCUC
Molecule: unclassified non-coding RNA, 285 nt
Filed under: plant metagenome
Description: partial contains small subunit ribosomal RNA, internal transcribed spacer 1, and 5.8S ribosomal RNA
Rfam family: Eukaryotic small subunit ribosomal RNA (bases 1-54)
Source: RNAcentral